This 492-nucleotide ribosomal RNA is filed under the name uncultured bacterium. Its description in RNAcentral is "partial 16S ribosomal RNA". It matches the Rfam family "Bacterial small subunit ribosomal RNA", at positions 29 to 507 of the family's 1533-position model. The record is from RNAcentral.
AGUGAACGCUGGCGGUAGGCCUAACACAUGCAAGUCGAACGGCAGCACAGUAAGAGCUUGCUCUUACGGGUGGCGAGUGGCGGACGGGUGAGGAAUACAUCGGAAUCUACUUUUUCGUGGGGGAUAACGUAGGGAAACUUACGCUAAUACCGCAUACGACCUACGGGUGAAAGCAGGGGAUCUUCGGACCUUGCGCGAUUGAAUGAGCCGAUGUCGGAUUAGCUAGUUGGCGGGGUAAAGGCCCACCAAGGCGACGAUCCGUAGCUGGUCUGAGAGGAUGAUCAGCCACACUGGAACUGAAACACGGUCCAGACUCCUACGGGAGGCAGCAGUGGGGAAUAUUGGACAAUGGGCGCAAGCCUGAUCCAGCCAUACCGCGUGGGUGAAGAAGGACUUCGGGUUGUAAAGCCCUUUUGUUGGGAAAGAAAAGCAGCAGGUUAAUACCCCGCUGUUCUGACGGUACCCAAAGAAUAAGCACCGGCUAACUUCGUG